RNAcentral lists this ribosomal RNA (173 nucleotides) under uncultured Treponema sp. RNAcentral describes it as "partial 23S ribosomal RNA". It matches the Rfam family "Bacterial large subunit ribosomal RNA", at positions 959 to 1129 of the family's 2925-position model. The record is from RNAcentral. Lineage: Bacteria; Pseudomonadati; Spirochaetota; Spirochaetia; Treponematales; Treponemataceae.
AAUGCCGGUAAUCAACAUAUAGGAGUGAGACUGCGUGCGACAAGGUUCGCAAGUCAAGAGGGAAACAGCCCAGACCGUCAGCUAAGGUCCCGAAAUACUGCUUGAGUGUAAAAUGAAGUGUGGAUACAAAGACAGCCAGGAGGUUGGCUUAGAAGCAGCCAUUCCUUGAAAGA